ACUUAAUAGCGCGUUUUUAAGUUUCACAAGAUUGCGACCCCCCCGCCCUUUGCCUCACGAUGGUUUGAUCCACUGCCAGUUCUUUAGCUUGCAAGGUAAUAGAGGGUUCGUAUCUACUGUCCGAAAGGCACUCGAUGUACGUAACUGACGUGAGGUAAUUCAGUCAAUUGCGCCAUAGCAAUGUAUAUAUUUUUCUAAUGUUGCAGGGUUCACACACUAGCUGAAUUUGCAGAGCUAACGCGCAAACUAAAGCAAACAUUAACUAUCAAGCUAGCUAGUACCUAUUCCAUUUAUGUGGCGUCGUCAAAGAUGGAAUAUUUGCUAUCGUCAGUUUAUUCCAAGAUUAGCAUGCAGCUGUAGUGCUUCAAAGUCCCUGUGAUAAGGUUAGCGAUAAACUGAAGUCCAAACUGAACAGAACUACACUCUCUUAUACCAUUGUCUUAAAUAUAUUUAAUGGUCUCGUUGCAAAAGCUAAAUUGUCGCUAGUGAUUUUUUAUUUUUUUUCACCUUUAUUUAACCAGGUAGCAAAGAUUAUAGCAAACACCACAGAAACGGAAUUGGUGCUCGCUAGCUUUGCAAAUUCAGCUAUUGUUGGAAGCUAGCCAAUAUGAAACAAACUAUGUUAAAAUUACAAAAGGUUGCAGCAUGUGUUGUGUAAAUGUGUGUGUGUGCAGCUAGACCGGCCAGCCAGGUAGAAAAAUGUCAGAAAAAAGUAAAAAGACGGACAUCAGAGUAUUUUUCAGUACACCAAAACGCAAAGUAAGAACUCUAGUAGCCUAAUAUCUCAAAGACGAGUUGAUAAAAUGUUCAUAAGAAAGAAGUGAAAUGCUAAUGGAAAUGUUUCACAAUGAUGUCAUUAGGCAGAGCAGGCAACAGAUGGCACACAGACAGCUGAGUUGGGGACAGAUAUGCAGGGACAGACUGGCAGAGACAGGGAGUCUCAGGUGACCAUGCCAUUUCACCCUCUUGUGACUCACCUGCUGUUCUCCACGAGGUAGAGCACGAUCUUGUCCAGCACCUUCUCGAUGAGGGCCGUGCGGAUCCAAAGGUUUCUGACCACCUGCGGGCUGAGGCUGGGCAGCCUGGACAGUAUCCGUAAGCUAUCCUGGUUGGGCAAACUUUGGUUCCGUCUGCAACGUAGAAACAGGGGAGAGGGAGGGAGGGAGGAACUCAGAGGUUACCUUUGGUUAUUUUCUACCAGUGAUAAUUUAUUAUGUGACACCUGCAUUGCAUCAGUAAACUAUAAUUAUGUGUGAGUAGAGUUGUCAUGUAUGACAGAGAUCAUGUUUAGGAUUUGUUAGCAGUAAUAUACAGUAACAGCUCUUUGCUUUUGAGUGCUAUGGUCUGUGUCUGUACAGGGAUUCGGUGGUGUGUUUGUGUCUGUACAAAGGUGUGUGUGCUCUCACUUGCUCUCCGUGAUCUGUUCCAGCUCCUGAGCCUUUCUGCACAGCUCCUCUGCCGGGGCGAAGCUCUUCCCCACCUUCAUGAAGAGCGCUGCUAUCUUGUUGCUACGCAGGAAUCCCGCCGCUCGCCGCUUAAGCCCAUGGAGAAUGCACGCCUCCACCGCAGC
This is a long non-coding RNA of Salvelinus fontinalis (brook trout), 1570 nucleotides long. RefSeq lists it as uncharacterized. The transcript is spliced from 2 exons. The record is from RefSeq and is a predicted model, not a curated record. Lineage: Eukaryota; Metazoa; Chordata; Actinopteri; Salmoniformes; Salmonidae.